This is a non-coding RNA of Camellia sinensis, 624 nucleotides long. Lineage: Eukaryota; Viridiplantae; Streptophyta; Magnoliopsida; Ericales; Theaceae. The record is from RefSeq and is a predicted model, not a curated record.
GGUGAAUGAAUUCACCUAGCUAAAAUCUAUUUUCUUCAUGUUGCUUUGUUUUUUUCCCCCCCUAGGAUAAGGAGGCAGAUGCUGAAAAUUAUGUACCAAAACGAAGAAAAAGACGUGAACGGGCAAAAGAAGCGAAGCAAAUUUCAAGACUUCAGAAAUUUACUGCUGCCAUGUGGAGGCUGCUUCUAUUUGUUACCCUUGUGUUGGCUCUGAUUGCAGCAACAUAUUAUGGUUACAAAGGUCUGUUGUGGCUCUCUGAUUGGAUGAAUGAAGUAGAAGUGCAAAGACAAAGAAGAAGAUACCCUUGAAUCUGAUCAAAAUCUCAAACUAUUUUAUACUUGAGUUGGAGUUGGGAGUUGUUUGACAUGGAGUUAGUACAUUAAACCCUUAUAGAAAGUGGUCCCUUACCAAAAAAAUUUCUAUCUUGUUUUAUAUUAUAUUAUUUAUUUUAUUUCUAGCUGGGCCUGUUGUGAUUACUCACCAUACAUGUUCUGGAAGAAGUUUGAAAAAUUGGCGUGGACUUUGAAUUUUGAAUUUCCCAGUCUCCAUUGAAAGCAUUGUGUUUUUGACUUUUGUAUCAAAUAAUGGUUUCGUUAUUGAGAAAGGUUAUUAUUAUGAUUUUGA